GAUGAACGCUGGCGGCGUGCCUAACACAUGCAAGUCGAGCGAACAGACGAGGAGCUUGCUCCUCUGACGUUAGCGGCGGACGGGUGAGUAACACGUGGAUAACCUACCUAUAAGACUGGGAUAACUUCGGGAAACCGGAGCUAAUACCGGAUAAUAUAUUGAACUGCAUGGGUCAAUAGUGAAAGACGGUUUUGCGGUCACUUAUAGAUGGAUCCGCGCCGCAUUAGCUAGUUGGUUAGGUAACGGCUUACCAAGGCAACGAUGCGUAGCCGACCUGAGAGGGUGGACGGCCACACUGGAACUGAGACACGGUCCAGACUCCUACGGGAGGCAGCGGUAGGGAAUCUUCCGCAAUGGGCGAAAGCCUGACGGAGCAACGCCGCGUGAGUGAUGAAGGUCUUCGGAUCGUAAAACUCUGUUAUUAGGGAAGAACAAAUGUGUAAGUAACUAUGCACGUCUUGACGGUACCUGGUCAAAAAGCCACGGCUAACUACGUG
Molecule: ribosomal RNA, 497 nt
Filed under: uncultured bacterium
Lineage: Bacteria
Description: partial 16S ribosomal RNA
Rfam family: Bacterial small subunit ribosomal RNA
Source: RNAcentral